UGCGUAGGCGGUUAGAUAAGUCAGAGGUGAAAGCCCGCAGCUCAACUGUGGAAUUGCCUUUGAUACUGUUUGACUUGAAUCAAGUUGAGGUUGGCGGAAUGUGACAUGUAGCGGUGAAAUGCAUAGAUAUGUCAUAGAACGCCAAUUGCGAAGGCAGCUAGCUGGACCUGCAUUGACGCUGAGGCACGAAAGCGUGGGGAGCGAACAGGAUUAGAUACCCUGGUAGUCC
This 229-nucleotide ribosomal RNA is filed under the name uncultured bacterium. RNAcentral's name for it is "partial 16S ribosomal RNA". It matches the Rfam family "Bacterial small subunit ribosomal RNA", at positions 568 to 796 of the family's 1533-position model. The record is from RNAcentral.